AGUCUCUCCAUCUCUCUCCAAGUCUCUCCAUCUCUCUCUCUCUCUCCAUCUCUCUCGCUCCAUCUCUCUCCAGCCCUGCGACUUCUCCUUCCCAAGACGACGAUGAACGUGAAGGCGACUCUCCUGCUCGCACUGCUGUGCCUGGCUCUGUUCCACGAGACGUGCGCUGCCCCAAAGCCCAGGCCCAUGCAAGGCCGCCUGGUCCGUCGGCCCCACGGACCCAGGCCAGACGGUGGCCACCCCCGAGCGGGAGUCCUCAUGCGGGGCCACUACCUCAAGAGGAGGCGCCCUGCGGUGGCAUACAAAGUUCCCAUCGCUUGAUGAGCCGUCAACCCCCUUGCACGGCCUCUCCCUCUCUGUCUCUGGCCGUCUCAUCGUCACCACGGCGAGGGUCGUGACCCACGUGACCCACGUGCGGCACGUGACCCACGUGACCCACGUGCGGCACGUGACCCACGUGACCCACGUGCGACACGAAGCCGCCACCUGGAAGGAACCCGGUGCCCAACCCCCACGUGCGUUCCUCCCGGGCCACCUACCCACCUAACCACCUGCCCACCCACCUACCCACCUGCCCAC
This is a non-coding RNA of Petromyzon marinus (sea lamprey), 579 nucleotides long. Lineage: Eukaryota; Metazoa; Chordata; Hyperoartia; Petromyzontiformes; Petromyzontidae. The record is from RefSeq and is a predicted model, not a curated record.